CCAAUGUCGAAUAGAGGGGAAAUGAUCACGUCCCUCAAUCUGCUGGCAGUGCCCCUACUUAUACAGCUCAAAAUGUGGUUAGUCUUCUUGGGAACAAGGGCACACUCUUCACUCAUAUCCAGCUUCUUGUCCGCUGUAACCCC
Molecule: non-coding RNA, 143 nt
Organism: Chelonoidis abingdonii (Abingdon island giant tortoise)
Lineage: Eukaryota; Metazoa; Chordata; Testudines; Testudinidae
Source: RefSeq, a predicted model, not a curated record